Non-coding RNA from Zootermopsis nevadensis, 288 nucleotides. The record is from RefSeq and is a predicted model, not a curated record. NCBI's taxonomy places the organism in Eukaryota, Metazoa, Arthropoda, Insecta, Blattodea, Termopsidae.
GUGUAUUCUGACUGUGAGGUUUUGAAGCUUUUAUGUGCAAUAGUGUGUUUUCUGGUGUUUAUAAUUAUUUGCACUCUGAUAUCUGGAUCAGUUUAUAAAAACAGACAUCCAGUGAAGACUUUGAAGUUUAACCAAAAAUAUGCUGCCUGCGGUUGCUAUACUACCUACGUGGUAAGUCUUAACAACAACAUAUAAAAAAAUGUAUUUCAUUGUGUGCCUUUCGAAUAUCUGAGUAUGUUUAAAAAACCACGGUGCAAACAUUUAUAAAUAAAGUGCUUACUUGUUCAA